Molecule: ribosomal RNA, 523 nt
Filed under: Coleosporium plumeriae
Lineage: Eukaryota; Fungi; Basidiomycota; Pucciniomycetes; Pucciniales; Coleosporiaceae
Description: partial 28S ribosomal RNA
Rfam family: Eukaryotic large subunit ribosomal RNA
Source: RNAcentral
GCAGUCCGAGUUGUAAUUUUGAGAACUGUUUUCUGUGCUGGACCAUAUACAAGUCUGUUGGAAAACAGCAUCAUUGAGGGUGAUAAUCCCGUAGAUGAUAUGGACUACCAGUGCAAUAUGAUACAGUCUCUAAGAGUCGAGUUGUUUGGGAAUGCAGCUCAAAGAGGGUGGUAAAUUCCAUCUAAGGCUAAAUAUAGGUGAGAGACCGAUAGCAAACAAGUACCGUGAGGGAAAGAUGAAAAGAACUUUGGAAAGAGAGUUAACAGUACGUGAAAUUGUUAAAAGGGAAACAUUUGAAGUUAGACUUGUUAUUAUUGGUUCAGCUUCUCUUUUUUAAUUAGGAGUUUAUUCCAAUGGUUGACAGACCAGCAUCAAUUUUUGAGUGUUAGAUAAGGGUCUUGGAGAAUGUGGCAACUUUGGUUGUGUUAUAGCUCCUGGCUUGAUAUAAUGCUUAAGAUUGAGGAACGCAGUGAGCUUCUUGGCGGAUUCUUUUUUGAAUCUUCAUCACUACGGUGGUUGGUGU